This 425-nucleotide ribosomal RNA is filed under the name uncultured bacterium. RNAcentral describes it as "bacterial SSU rRNA". It matches the Rfam family "Bacterial small subunit ribosomal RNA", at positions 354 to 796 of the family's 1533-position model. The record is from RNAcentral.
GUGGGGAAUAUUGCACAAUGGGGGAAACCCUGAUGCAGCGACGCCGCGUGCGGGAUGACGGCCUUCGGGUUGUAAACCGCUUUCAGCAGGGACGAAAUUGACGGUACCUGCAGAAGAAGCGCCGGCUAACUACGUGCCAGCAGCCGCGGUAAUACGUAGGGCGCAAGCGUUGUCCGGAAUUAUUGGGCGUAAAGAGCUCGUAGGCGGUUUGUCGCGUCGGGUGUGAAAGCUCAGGGCUCAACCCUGAGUCUGCAUCCGAUACGGGCAGACUAGAGGCAGGUAGGGGAGAACGGAAUUCCUGGUGUAGCGGUGAAAUGCGCAGAUAUCAGGAGGAACACCGGUGGCGAAGGCGGUUCUCUGGGCCUGUACUGACGCUGAGGAGCGAAAGCGUGGGGAGCGAACAGGAUUAGAAACCCGUGUAGUCC